Molecule: ribosomal RNA, 442 nt
Filed under: uncultured bacterium
Lineage: Bacteria
Description: bacterial SSU rRNA
Rfam family: Bacterial small subunit ribosomal RNA
Source: RNAcentral
ACUCCUACGGGAGGCAGCAGUUAGGAAUAUUCGGCAAUGGGGAACCCGUAGCACCGACGCGACACUGCGUGAAGGAGGAAGGCCUUAGGGUUGUAAACUUCUGAACGAGAGACGAUAAUGACGGUAUCUCGGUAAUAGCACCGGCUAACUCCGUGCCAGCAGCCGCGGUAAUACGGAGGGUGCGAGCGUUAUCCGGAAUCACUGGGCGUAAAGGGCGCGUAGGCGGUUACAUAAGUCCGAUGUUAAAGCGUAGGGCUCAACCCUAUAAGCAGUUGGAUACUGUGAAACUAGACUUCUGGAGAGGUAAGUGGAAUUACCAGAGUAGCGGUGAAAUGCGUAGAUACUGGUAGGAACACCCAUAGCGAAGGCAGCUUACUGGACAGAGAGUGACGCUGAGGCGCGAAAGUGUGGGGAGCAAACCGGAUUAGAUACCCUGGUAGAC